This 292-nucleotide long non-coding RNA is filed under the name Physcomitrium patens. Its description in RNAcentral is "long non-coding RNA (PPAT_LNC005627)". The record is from RNAcentral. Lineage: Eukaryota; Viridiplantae; Streptophyta; Bryopsida; Funariales; Funariaceae.
UCUUCCUCUCCGACUAACUGUAGGGUACUUAGGUUUAGGAAUAAAAAUCCAGAUCAUCUCUUGUUUGUAGGGUAUACUUUGGACCUAUAAAUUGCCACUGGAAGCUUUUAUUUCGAAGACUAAGACUAUAAAUUGUGUACCCUAAACCAAGGUAUUGAUCUAUUGUGAGAUCAUCAGCAUUGGACAUCACCAUUUGCGACCAAGGUUUAGGAGCUUUGUGCAGCUCAUAUGGUUAUGAGUGGAUGGCUUGCAGACUUCGUAGUAAUCUGCGUCUUCGAUCUUAAUGUUGUUG